UAAGGGGUGCCUGCGGAGGGAUCAUUACCGAGUUUACAACNUCCCAAACCCCUGUGAACAUACCAAUUGUUGCCUCGGCGGAUCAGCCCGCUCCCGGUAAAACGGGACGGCCCGCCAGAGGACCCCUAAACUCUGUUUCUAUAUGUAACUUCUGAGUAAAACCAUAAAUAAAUCAAAACUUUCAACAACGGAUCUCUUGGUUCUGGCAUCGAUGAAGAACGCAGCAAAAUGCGAUAAGUAAUGUGAAUUGCAGAAUUCAGUGAAUCAUCGAAUCUUUGAACGCACAUUGCGCCCGCCAGUAUUCUGGCGGGCAUGCCUGUUCGAGCGUCAUUUCAACCCUCAAGCCCAGCUUGGUGUUGGGACUCGCGAGUCAAAUCGCGUUCCCCAAAUUGAUUGGCGGUCACGUCGAGCUUCCAUAGCGUAGUAGUAAAACCCUCGUUACUGGUAAUCGUCGCGGCCACGCCGUUAAACCCCAACUUCUGAAUGUUGACCUCGGAUCAGGUAGGAAUACCCGAUC
RNAcentral lists this ribosomal RNA (517 nucleotides) under Fusarium sp. CS-P/F13. Its description in RNAcentral is "eukaryotic LSU rRNA". The stretch from base 177 to 330 matches the Rfam family "5.8S ribosomal RNA". Lineage: Eukaryota; Fungi; Ascomycota; Sordariomycetes; Hypocreales; Nectriaceae. The record is from RNAcentral.